This 280-nucleotide long non-coding RNA is filed under the name Nicotiana benthamiana. RNAcentral's name for it is "long non-coding RNA (NBEN_LNC015414)". The record is from RNAcentral. Lineage: Eukaryota; Viridiplantae; Streptophyta; Magnoliopsida; Solanales; Solanaceae.
CCAGAUCUAAACUUAUCUCCACGGGUGAAUAAGGAGCGAGGAUAUAAUCCACUGGCCGAGUGGUAAACUUAAAUUUUCCUUUGUAUUAUGAUUUUUUUAUGUAUUGUAUUUGUAUUAUCACUCAUAUAUUUCAAAUGGGGUACCGGCCAAAUAUGAAUUUUACAAGUUACGAACCAACGGACAGUUUGAAUAUGCCUAGUUUUGGUCUCUUGGAUCAUGGUGGUCCAUCCGGAGUCAUCAGCAACAGGAUAAUAUGCAUCAUAGGAUAUCAACAAAUUAU